AACGCGAAGAACCUUACCUGGAUUUGACAUGUAGUCGACAGGAUCAGAGAUGAUCUAUUCCCGCAAGGGACGAUUAUGCAGGUGCUGCAUGGCUGUCGUCAGCUCGUGCCGUGAGGUGUUGGGUUAAGUCCCGCAACGAGCGCAACCCUUGUCUUUAGUUGCCAGCACGUAAUGGUGGGCACUCUAACGAGACUGCCUGGGUUAACCAGGAGGAAGGUGAGGAUGACGUCAAGUCCGCAUGGCCUUUAUGUCCAGGGCUACACACGUGCUACAAUGGCCGGUACAGAGGGCAGCAAAACCGCGAGGUAGAGCAAAUCCUAAAAGCCGGCCCCAGUUCGGAUUGAAGUCUGCAACUCGACUUCAUGAAGUUGGAAUUGCUAGUAUGGCGAGUCAGCAACAUUGCCGUGAAUACGUUCCCGGGCCUUGUACACACCGCACUACUA
Molecule: ribosomal RNA, 443 nt
Filed under: uncultured bacterium
Lineage: Bacteria
Description: bacterial SSU rRNA
Rfam family: Bacterial small subunit ribosomal RNA
Source: RNAcentral